CAAAUUCUACUCGUGGACAUGUUACGGUUACGGUGUUUGCAAGCGCAAAGUUCAGCGUAAUGCGUUGCUAUCAAAUGGAACUACUGCCCACAGUUGCUACACUGAUACCACAGUCACUCUCCUCUCCAGUUUCGAAGAGUUUAGCAGUCAUCUGUACGGGGAACGAUGAGAAGUGACAGAAACAGUGGGAAGCCAUGGAGGUGCCAUACAGGCUACAAACAGCACUCAGGGGUGAAUAGGGAUGUCAGUUUUUCAGGUAAUACUUUUGUUAAACUUCUUCUAAAAAGAUGCUACAGUUGAACAUAAUAAUGUUAUAAAUGAUCACAUAUUUGUAAGAAAAGUUGUAAUAUUUCCGGCCAAAGCUGAACUUCUUUUUUUUUUUGUAUAUUUCAGACUUGUUAUUUAAUGGACUGACUUAAAUGUUUACAUAGUAAUUUACUCACUAAUAGUUCCCUAAUGAGGAUUUUACCUUUUUUUCCCCCAUGCUGUAAGUUAAUAAUUCAAAGGAGGCUGUGUUUCACCUGGACCUUGCCUUUCAGGGAAUCCAAGGUUUUAAUGUUUCUCAAUAGAUUUCCCUCAGGGAUACACAGUUCUUGUUUCCAUGGCAACCUCAUUUGUUCAGCACUGACCAAGUUUAGAUCGAGCUGUGUCCCCGGUCAUCUGGCCACCUUCAUUUAGUUCCAUAAGAACAGUACCUUAGC
This is a long non-coding RNA of Amphiprion ocellaris (clown anemonefish), 701 nucleotides long. RefSeq lists it as uncharacterized. NCBI's taxonomy places the organism in Eukaryota, Metazoa, Chordata, Actinopteri, Pomacentridae. The transcript is spliced from 3 exons. The record is from RefSeq and is a predicted model, not a curated record.